Molecule: ribosomal RNA, 449 nt
Filed under: uncultured bacterium
Lineage: Bacteria
Description: partial 16S ribosomal RNA
Rfam family: Bacterial small subunit ribosomal RNA
Source: RNAcentral
CCUACGGGCGACUGCAGUGGGGAAUAUUGGACAAUGGGGGAAACCCUGAUCCAGCAAUGCCGCGUGUGUGAAGAAGGCCUGCGGGUUGUAAAGCACUUUCGGUUGGGAAGAAAAGUUUGGCGCCAAUACCGCCGAACCUUGACGUUACUGACAGAAGAAGCACCGGCGAACUCUGUGCCAGCAGCCGCGGUAAUACAGAGGGAGCAAGCGGGAAUCGGAAUCACGGGGCGUAAAGUGCACGUAGGGGGUGAACUCCCCGGGCUUAACCUUGGAACUGCAUUCGAUACUACAUGGCUAGAGUAUGGUAGAGGGAAGUGGAAUUUCCGGUGUAGCGGUGAAAUGCGUAGAUAUCGGAAGGAACACCAAUGGCGAAGGCAGCUUCCUGGACUAAUACUGACACUGAGGCACGAAAGCGUGGGUAGCAAACAGGAUUAGAUACCCCUGUAGUC